Molecule: non-coding RNA, 429 nt
Organism: Sciurus carolinensis (gray squirrel)
Lineage: Eukaryota; Metazoa; Chordata; Mammalia; Rodentia; Sciuridae
Source: the annotation of a RefSeq genome assembly
AUGUCAGGCCUCCUUACCCUCCUCUGGGUCUUAUUUCCAGCUGGUCAGUCAUUCAUCAUACUGGAGCAACCAGCCCAGGUCCUGGCACACAAGGGAAACUCUGUCUUUCUGCAGUGCUUGGUCCACAUCAAGGUCAGCUACAUCCACUGGUACCGGCAGCAGGAGGGCCAGGCCCCCCAGAGACUUCUCUACGUGAACAUGUUCUGCAAGGUUGUGCAGAUGGAUUCAGUCCUCAAAUCAGAUAAAAUCACAUCUGUGAGAACCAGCGAUGGUAGGAGCUGUUCCCUGUUGGUGCGGAAGCUGGAGAAGGGUGAUGAUGGUGUGUACUACUGUGCAACCUGGAGCACCACAGACCUGUGCACCCACCCAGCUCCUGCACAACAAGGCCCCUUACUUCCUGAUCCUGCCAGGACUUGGACAUGUUUCUGA